AUGGGGCCGGUUCGGUGCGCGGCGAGGAGUCUCAGUGGCUCCCUGCUCCAGCGAACGCGGGCGGCGGUCGCCGGGGAGGGACGCCGGCUCGUGCCAAGCACGUUCAUGCGCCCGCGCCAGCUCUCCGGCGAGGUCUCCAGCGAGCGAUCGCAGGUGCCGGAGCGACUCCUCCUCGAGACAGGCCGGAUCAUGCGCAACCGCCAGCUCGCCAGCGAGAUAUCCAAGAGACUACAGGAGCCGUCUGCCUUGGAAUCUGAGGUCCAGUGCAGGAUGGAGGCGCUUCUUGCAUCGUGGCAUAACUUGGAGGAGCUUCACAAGGAAGCAGCACCAGAUGCCUUUGAGUUGUAUGUGAAGGCCUAUGGAAAUGCGGCUAAGGCUGUGGUUCGUGGAGCUGCCAAGGCGUUGCUUUAUUUCUGUAUGAUUAGUUCCGUUAUUUUGGGUGACAAGUAG
RNAcentral lists this ribosomal RNA (450 nucleotides) under Triticum aestivum (bread wheat). RNAcentral describes it as "partial small subunit ribosomal RNA". Lineage: Eukaryota; Viridiplantae; Streptophyta; Magnoliopsida; Poales; Poaceae. The record is from RNAcentral.